GCUACAAAAAUGGAUUCUCGCAAUUUUAUUUUAUUUUAAAAUAUCUUUUUAUGGAUGAUGAAAAUUUGUACUACCUUUAUUUUUCAAAAAAUAACAAGCAGAAACUAUCUACUCACUAGAAAAUAUCUGCAAACAUCCUUGUUAACCACUGCUGUGCCAACUACUCCUUUAAGAGUUCAAUUGUUCAAGUUCAAAGUCAAAUCUUGAUGUAAGGGUGUUUAUUUAAGAGAAUAACUAUUGGGGGUUGAUCUAACAUGCUAAGAGUGUUACGGCACUAACCUUGAAUACUGAUUUAAGUAUUAUUUUUUUUCACAAUAAUCCAUACAAUACAAGCACACAUAGCUCUAAUAACAAUGUCACUUGUUCAUGUUUACGAAUAAUACUGACGAAUCCCCCGCGACAGAACUGACAGAUAGAGGUGUAAUCCUUGCACAAAGGAUAUGAAGACUAUAUUUAUCCACAACACCUAGAUAGAAAUUAUUCAGUUCCGCAUAUAUUUUGUAACUUCCAUUGUAGUUUAGAAGCAGCAGCAGCAUUCUUCCAGCAAACAGCAGCAACAAAGCGCAGCCAAACUGCACAUGCAAAGCCACACGAAAAGUUUAAUCACAGUGCCUUCACCAUAUAUUUCUAGCAUAUGUAGAUUAAAAGCAUACCAAGUAACUAAUAUGUAGAAACAAAAUAUAUUCAGAAAGUUAUUAUGGUACUAAUCCUGCAAAGCCCGUCAGUAUUAAGAUUGGAACAAAAUACAAAAGAUGAUAAAUUUAACGAUUCAUAUUGAGAUAUAAAUUUCAACAUAGUUGUUAGCCAUGAAAUAAGUCAUGUUGCUGCAUAUACCAAUGUUAGAAACUAAAAAGUGUUCACAAGACAAAAAGGAGCAAGCUACACCUAAUUCGUCAAACAUUUCAGAAGCAAAUACAAAUAUACACGCCAAGUUUUCACCAGUCAGAGAGAUCCCAUUAGUAUUACUAUCAUGUAACAUGGCCAUGACAUAAUUCCUUUCACUGAACAAAUUUUUGAACAUAUAAAAUAAACAAAGCAAACUCCAUGGCAUUUGCAGAAAUCACAUGCAAUGCAGAACAAAAAUUGGGCAAGGCGGUAGUUCUAGUUGGGAUAAGUGCCUUGAACGGGAAUUGUACAACUGCUUAAAGAAGACAAUUUGCAUCGUACUCCCAGCAUGAUGCGCUUUAAAUUCUGAGAAAAAGAGGACUAAAAUACAGAUGUCUUGGUGCAAAUUGCAAACCUUAGCUCAAUAUUGAUUGAUAAUAAUGUCAGACACCCAAACAUGGUCCUGCCACAACCAAUUUUUUUUUUUUGACAUAAAAUCGUGAAAGCUCCCUCAAUACUUUUAUAUGAACUCUUACAAGCAACACCCAAUUACGUGUCUUACUAGCAUGUACAUAUAGCAGUGCAAGACGGAAAGCUCUAAAAUGAAACUAUGGUCCAAAACCCGAUCAAAUGCAACUAGAUAGUUCUAGAAUUCUAGUUCAGUUCAGAACAUGGUGUAAAGAACAGCUCCCAUACUAAUCGCAGCUCAUUUAAUAUAUCUAUCUAACAAAAUACAGCUGAUUUUGAAUUUUCUGUUCACCCUAAUAAAUCAUCUNNNNNNNNNNNNNNNNNNNNNNNNNNNNNNNNNNNNNNNNNNNNNNNNNNNNNNNNNNNNNNNNNNNNNNNNNNNNNNNNNNNNNNNNNNNNNNNNNNNNCUACGGUGGCCAUUAAAUUGGUUCAUUUGGAAUUUAAAAUACAGUCGUGAAAUAGUUUAUUGGCUAUAUAACUUGAUCAAAUAAUAAAAGCUAUUGAUGUUGUGUUGGGACAAAUGUUGAUGUAUUUUGCUGAAGUAUUUUUUUGAAUUGCUAAUUUGUGAACUUGUUAGACUGCUGCUCCUACAUUGGGAUAAAUGAAUUGUUAGAUUCUAGAAUGUUAAAUAUAGGUUACAUGAUCUCCCUUCCUUUUCCGUGUAUGUGCAUGUGUGACUGGCUUCCUGUUUCUUCGAUGGUGGAGUUUACCUAUUUGUUGCAGCAUACAUCCAUGUAAUAUGUCAAUAUAUAAAGUUUAAUGUCCAGGGUUUGCAAGUUAUAAUCACACUGUCUCUUAAUUAUUAUCAGUAGUAGAUAAUCUGCUUUUGACAGUUCCCUGCCCUCACAUUAUUUACUGUUUUACAUGCUAAUUUGCUGGUGAGUGCCACUGCAAUGUCCUUUAGAAAAGGAGCUCAAUUAGUUAGUUGGAUAGUAAUAGCUGCUUAUUUAGACAUUUAUUUGAAACUAACCCUAGUUUUGGUAUUCUUUAUCUUUGAUUUCUACAUUCAGGUUUCUUAGGGAGCUGGACUUGCAAGAAAAUGAAGUUGAAGAUCAUAGAGGGCAGUGGCUUAGCUGCUUUCCCGACAGCUGCACCUCGCUUGUCUCCUUGAAUUUUGCAUGCCUGAAAGGAGAAGUUAAUCUCUCUGCUCUUGAGAGACUGGUGGCAAGGUGUCGUAAUCUUAGAAGUCUCAGGUUGAACCAUUCAGUUCCUGAUGAUGCUCUUCAGAAGAUUUUUGUGCAAGCACCUCAGUUGGUGGACUUGGGGGUAGGGUCCUAUGUCCAUGAUCCAGAUUCAGAGACAUACAGCAAUCUAAAGAACGUGAUCCAGAAAUGUACAUCAAUUAGGAGCUUAUCGGGAUUCUUGGAGGUUGCUCCUUGCUGCUUGCCUGCUGUUUAUCCGAUUUGUGUGAACUUGACCUCCUUGAACUUGAGUUAUGCACCAGGGAUCUACAGCAGCGAUCUUAGAAAGCUAAUCCGUCAUUGCAGGAAACUGCAACGCCUAUGGGUUUGAAUUUUAACCCUCNNNNNNNNNNNNNNNNNNNNNNNNNNNNNNNNNNNNNNNNNNNNNNNNNNNNNNNNNNNNNNNNNNNNNNNNNNNNNNNNNNNNNNNNNNNNNNNNNNNNUAUUUUUUCUACAGAUAUUAGAUUAUAUUGGAGAUAAAGGGCUAGGUGUUGUAGCUUCUACUUGUAAGGAACUGCAGGAACUUAGAGUUUUCCCUUCUGAUCUUUAUGGUGUUGGUAACGCUGCUGUAACUGAGGAAGGUUUGGUGGCUAUAUCAGCUGGUUGCCCCAAGCUGAAUUCCUUACUCUAUUUCUGCCAGCAGAUGACAAACGCUGCACUCAUAACAGUUGCCAAAAACUGCCCAAACUUCAUUCGGUUCAGACUAUGCACACUUAAUCCAACUAUACCAGAUCCAGUGACAAUGCAGCCACUGGAUGAAGGUUUCGGUGCAAUUGUUCAGUCAUGCAAGGGUCUCAAGCGGUUGUCACUCUCUGGCCUCCUAACUGACCAGGUUUUCCUUUAUAUAGGAAUGUAUGCAGAGCAGCUUGAAAUGCUGUCAGUUGCGUUUGCUAGCGGGAGUGACAAGGGAAUGCUUUAUGUGUUGAAUGGCUGCAAGAAGCUUAAAAAGCUAGAAAUCAGGGAUAGCCCUUUUGGGAAUGUGGCACUUCUAGCGGACGUGGGAAAGUAUGAAACAAUGCGAUCCCUUUGGAUGUCGUCCUGUGAAGUAACUCUUGGAGCCUGCAAGGCACUUGCCAAGGAGAUGCCAACCCUAAAUGUGGAACUUAUUAAUGAAAGUGCACAUAUGGAUGCUAGUUCUGAUGAUAGGCAAAAAGUAGAGAAGAUGUACCUGUAUCGGACCUUGGUUGGGCCAAGAAGUGACGCACCAGAUUUUGUGUGGACAUUAUAGAUGUAUAUGUCCAUUGUAAAUUUGUGUUUCUCCUGCCCAAAAUUUCAUCAGCAGGUGUAGUAGUUCUAUUUUGCUUAGAUGAACUAAACUCUGUACUUGACUCUAAUGAUUAAUUCUAAUGGAGUUUAAAUCCAUCACUUUUCAUCAGUAGAAACUGGGGGUAAAAGUAGUUUUUUUUUGGCAUAUUAUUUUGAGCAAAAGAGAAAGUAGAGGAUUGAUUGCAUAGGCAGUAGACCAGUAGUACCUGGUGUUUGCUAAGUUGUUAAAAAAGAAAAGACAAAUUAAGAAGAUAAAAUUUUAUAAUUCUGAACUGAUUAAAAACAAAUUGUAUGAUAGAGCAACUUUUGCACUAUAUUUAUAAUGCCACGGGAAGGAACCAGAAAAAUAUCAUGUCACAUUUUAAAUUUAGCAUGAAAUGAAACGAAAGAUGCUACAAAAAUGGAUUCUCGCAAUUUUAUUUUAUUUUAAAAUAUCUUUUUAUGGAUGAUGAAAAUUUGUACUACCUUUAUUUUUCAAAAAAUAACAAGCAGAAACUAUCUACUCACUAGAAAAUAUCUGCAAACAUCCUUGUUAACCACUGCUGUGCCAACUACUCCUUUAAGAGUUCAAUUGUUCAAGUUCAAAGUCAAAUCUUGAUGUAAGGGUGUUUAUUUAAGAGAAUAACUAUUGGGGGUUGAUCUAACAUGCUAAGAGUGUUACGGCACUAACCUUGAAUACUGAUUUAAGUAUUAUUUUUUUUCACAAUAAUCCAUACAAUACAAGCACACAUAGCUCUAAUAACAAUGUCACUUGUUCAUGUUUACGAAUAAUACUGACGAAUCCCCCGCGACAGAACUGACAGAUAGAGGUGUAAUCCUUGCACAAAGGAUAUGAAGACUAUAUUUAUCCACAACACCUAGAUAGAAAUUAUUCAGUUCCGCAUAUAUUUUGUAACUUCCAUUGUAGUUUAGAAGCAGCAGCAGCAUUCUUCCAGCAAACAGCAGCAACAAAGCGCAGCCAAACUGCACAUGCAAAGCCACACGAAAAGUUUAAUCACAGUGCCUUCACCAUAUAUUUCUAGCAUAUGUAGAUUAAAAGCAUACCAAGUAACUAAUAUGUAGAAACAAAAUAUAUUCAGAAAGUUAUUAUGGUACUAAUCCUGCAAAGCCCGUCAGUAUUAAGAUUGGAACAAAAUACAAAAGAUGAUAAAUUUAACGAUUCAUAUUGAGAUAUAAAUUUCAACAUAGUUGUUAGCCAUGAAAUAAGUCAUGUUGCUGCAUAUACCAAUGUUAGAAACUAAAAAGUGUUCACAAGACAAAAAGGAGCAAGCUACACCUAAUUCGUCAAACAUUUCAGAAGCAAAUACAAAUAUACACGCCAAGUUUUCACCAGUCAGAGAGAUCCCAUUAGUAUUACUAUCAUGUAACAUGGCCAUGACAUAAUUCCUUUCACUGAACAAAUUUUUGAACAUAUAAAAUAAACAAAGCAAACUCCAUGGCAUUUGCAGAAAUCACAUGCAAUGCAGAACAAAAAUUGGGCAAGGCGGUAGUUCUAGUUGGGAUAAGUGCCUUGAACGGGAAUUGUACAACUGCUUAAAGAAGACAAUUUGCAUCGUACUCCCAGCAUGAUGCGCUUUAAAUUCUGAGAAAAAGAGGACUAAAAUACAGAUGUCUUGGUGCAAAUUGCAAACCUUAGCUCAAUAUUGAUUGAUAAUAAUGUCAGACACCCAAACAUGGUCCUGCCACAACCAAUUUUUUUUUUUUGACAUAAAAUCGUGAAAGCUCCCUCAAUACUUUUAUAUGAACUCUUACAAGCAACACCCAAUUACGUGUCUUACUAGCAUGUACAUAUAGCAGUGCAAGACGGAAAGCUCUAAAAUGAAACUAUGGUCCAAAACCCGAUCAAAUGCAACUAGAUAGUUCUAGAAUUCUAGUUCAGUUCAGAACAUGGUGUAAAGAACAGCUCCCAUACUAAUCGCAGCUCAUUUAAUAUAUCUAUCUAACAAAAUACAGCUGAUUUUGAAUUUUCUGUUCACCCUAAUAAAUCAUCUGGGCCGUCCAAGGUUUGGGAUAAAUCUCACCGUCCAUGUAGUGCCGGAGGCACGGGACACAACUAAUAUACUUAUAUUAUCCUUGAGUACAUAAAUCAAUAAAUGUCCAGAUCCUCCAGGAUCAGGUUAUACUGUUAACCAAGAGAAAGUAGAAAACUAGAAUUUUCAUUUACUUAAAAAUUGUUUACAGAUAAGUUGGACAGUCUCUCAUCUUUCAGGUCUAUAAGAAUCAAUAUAGCUCUUAUAUCUUGAUUUUUUAUAAGAGUCGCAAAUAGAAACAUACUCAAAUGUAUUGAUUUUUUAUAUUCACCAACUAGACGAUACAGUAACUUUAUAUUUGACAACCUCAUUGUUAACGCCUGAUUUUGUACGCCUGACGAAAUCACCCAAAAGGACAGGCCAAAAUAGCGCCAUCGGUUGAUGGAGUAAUUGUUGUGAAAGCAAACUCACGAAAUACACUCACAUAAACAUAAAUAAAGAAAUAUAAAGUAUGAACACAAGAAUUUACGUGGAAACCCAAUUGGGGAAAAACCACGGAAAGAGAGUAAUCUACUAUAAUAAUAUUGAGAGUACAAGUGGUAUAUUUGUGUUGUUGUCCUCUUGUGCCCUAUCAUAUUGUCUUCUAUUAUGUUGUCCCCUUAACCCCAGCUUGUAGCCGUAUAUAUAGAAGUAAUCUCCACCUACAUCCAACUAGGAGAAGGAUUCCUUAUCUCUCCAAAUAAGGAAAUACAAUCCUAUUUUAAUAAGGACUCUUCCACUGUCAUAAUAAAUACAUAUGAGCCAACACCAGAUCCGGACCAUUAAAUAGAUUGGGCUGUAGCCCAAAUAAUCACACUCCAACACUCAUAAAACCUGCUUUCCUAACCCUCUAAAAGGCAGAAAGGAAGAAAUGCGAAAAGAAAAAUAAUAGUAGUCAACCUAUUUAACCAUGAAGACAAUAUUCAGUAGGAGUAUAUGAGAGUGUUAUAGUUCACAUGCUAGGAUAAUGGUUUUAAUGAAACUGAAAAGGAACAAUUCAAUUCUUACAAAGGAAAUUAUAGGCUAAGGCUGAGCUUAUGUAACUAGUACAGAUAGAUAGAUACGCACCUAUUUAUUAAAAACUGACAAGCCAAGCAAAUGGACCAACACCAUUUCAAAGAACUGACAGUGAUUCUUAGCUUACUACAAAUCCAAGUUCUUAGAAAACAAAAACGGACUGACUAGGCGCAAUGAACCAAUCAUAUCCAAGUCAUCCAGUUUUAAUACAUAGAAGAUUAUCUAGUUAUGGUCUAAAUUCCCACGUAGAAUAAACAGAAGACGGAAAUUCAGAGCUCAUAGAAGCACAAUUAUCAGCUAAAUCAAUUUUCAACAAAGAGAUCAGAAACAAACACAACAAACAACAAUUUUAUCUACCAAUGAAAGAACCUUAGUACAAAUUAACACACACGUGUGUGUUUUUACACAUAAAGAGGGGAUGCAUAUACAUACCAGCCUUUGAAAAAAGAGCAACAACCACCCUGAUCAUUGUCUUCUUGAUGCUCAUGGUGGACAUGAUAAACCUGCUGUGGUGGAGGAGGAGGUGGAGGAUACCCUCCUCCACUGAAAUACCCUUGAUACCCUUGACCUGGGGGUGGCGGAUGUGGUGGCCGCGGGUACGCUUCAUAGGGCGGCGGUGCAGAUGGGUAUCCUGGUGGUGGAGGAGAAGGAGGCCCACCAUACCCUUCAAAAAUAACAACCACCACAAAAUUGAAGUGCUAAAGUUUAGACGUUGAAAGUCAACAAUAAAAGUCAAAUUGAAAAUUGAAAAUAUAGCAAAAUCAAAGGCCAGAAUAUGAAAUCAAGAGGAAAAGAAGACAAGAAUUAGUGAAAUUGAAGAAGAACAAAAAAGAAAUGAAUGAAUACCUGGGGAAGGGUACUGGUGGUAUGGGCCUUGAGGGAGUCUCUGGUGACUCAUGGGAUAUUAUCUCUCUCUCUCUCUCUCUUCCCUUUUCUUCCCUGAGAAAGUGCUAGACGUAGGAGAACCAGCGGUAAUUGCCACCGGCGAGUAGUUACAGGUGCGAACUGAAUUUAAUUAUUUAUCUCGGCUGUCUGUAGCCGCUUACGUCGGUGGUAAUGAGAUCAAAUUAACACCUUAUUAUAAUAAUUACAGAAAAUUUAAUUUUAUUAAUAACAAGUUGGAUCUUAUUAUACAUGUGAUUCUCUUAGCUAGCUUCUCCCGUACUCUUCUUUUCUUUUCUUCUUCUCCUUCCUUCUUUCUAUCUCUUUAUCUCUUAUUUAUUCUUUCUAAAUUUAUGUAGCAAUUAUAAGAGUAUAUUUAUACACU
RNAcentral lists this long non-coding RNA (8033 nucleotides) under Panax ginseng (ginseng). RNAcentral describes it as "long non-coding RNA (PGIN_LNC003814)". Lineage: Eukaryota; Viridiplantae; Streptophyta; Magnoliopsida; Apiales; Araliaceae. The record is from RNAcentral.